GUGGGGAAUUGUUCGCAAUGGGCGCAAGCCUGACGACGCAACGCCGCGUGGGGGAUGAAGGUCUUCGGAUUGUAAACCCCUGUUGACCGGGACGAAUCCUUGCCGGGCUAACAUCCCGGCGAGCUGACGGUACCGGUUGAGGAAGCCCCGGCUAACUCUGUGCCAGCAGCCGCGGUAAUACAGAGGGGGCGAGCGUUGUUCGGAAUUACUGGGCGUAAAGGGCGCGUAGGCGGCCGGCUAAGUCCGACGUGAAAUCCCCAGGCUCAACCUGGGAACUGCGUCGGAUACUGACUGGCUUGAAUCCGGGAGAGGGAUGUGGAAUUCCAGGUGUAGCGGUGAAAUGCGUAGAUAUCUGGAGGAACACCGGUGGCGAAGGCGGCAUCCUGGACCGGUAUUGACGCUGAGGCGCGAAAGCCAGGGGAGCAAACGGGAUUAGAAACCCCGGUAGUCC
Molecule: ribosomal RNA, 451 nt
Filed under: uncultured bacterium
Lineage: Bacteria
Description: bacterial SSU rRNA
Rfam family: Bacterial small subunit ribosomal RNA
Source: RNAcentral